AUUCCAGCUCCAAGAGCGUAUAUUAAAGUUGUUGCAGUUAAAAAGCUCGUAGUUGGAUUUCUGGUACAAUGCGCCUGGCCCGCGACGGUUACGUCUGUGAGUGCCGGUGCGCGUUUGCCAUCCUUCUAGAAAACGUUUCUACCCUUCGCUGGGCCGGAUUCGCGAUCUAGAUCUUUUACUUUGAAAAAAUUAGAGUGUUUAAAGCAGGCUUUUGCUAUGAAUACAUUAGCAUGGAAUAAUAAUCUAGGACUUCGGUUCUAUUUUGUUGGUUUCUAGUACUGAAGUAAUGAUUGAUAGGGAUAGUUGGGGGUGCUAGUAUUGGCCGGCCAGAGGUGAAAUUCUUGGAUUCGGUCAAGACUAACUUAUGCGAAAGCAUUCACCAAGGAUGUCUUCAUUG
This 397-nucleotide ribosomal RNA is filed under the name Protaspa sp. RNAcentral's name for it is "partial small subunit ribosomal RNA". It matches the Rfam family "Eukaryotic small subunit ribosomal RNA", at positions 582 to 975 of the family's 1831-position model. The record is from RNAcentral. Lineage: Eukaryota; Cercozoa; Thecofilosea; Cryomonadida; Protaspidae.